This 253-nucleotide ribosomal RNA is filed under the name uncultured bacterium. RNAcentral's name for it is "partial 16S ribosomal RNA". It matches the Rfam family "Bacterial small subunit ribosomal RNA", at positions 524 to 776 of the family's 1533-position model. The record is from RNAcentral.
GACAGAGGUGCCGAGCGUUAUGCGGAAUCACUGGGCUUAAAGCGUGUGUAGGCGGCUUCCUAAGUUCCUUGUGAAAUCCCAUGGCUCAACCAUGGAACUGCUUGGUAUACUGGGUGUCUUGAGCCAGCUAGGGGCUACCGGAACAAAUGGUGGAGCGGUGAAAUGCGUAGAUAUCAUUUGGAACGCCAAUGGUGAAAACAGGUAGCUGGGGCUGUGCUGACGCUGAGACACGAAAGCCAGGGGAGCGAACGGG